UGGGGAAUAUUGGACAAUGGGCGAAAGCCUGAUCCAGCCAUGCCGCGUGUGUGAAGAAGGUCUUCGGAUUGUAAAGCACUUUAAGUUGGGAGGAAGGGCAGUAAGUUAAUACCUUGCUGUUUUGACGUUACCGACAGAAUAAGCACCGGCUAACUUCGUGCCAGCAGCCGCGGUAAUACGAAGGGUGCAAGCGUUAAUCGGAAUUACUGGGCGUAAAGCGCGCGUAGGUGGUUUGAUAAGUUGGAUGUGAAAGCCCCGGGCUCAACCUGGGAAUUGCAUCCAAAACUGUCUGACUAGAGUAUGGCAGAGGGUGGUGGAAUUUCCUGUGUAGCGGUGAAAUGCGUAGAUAUAGGAAGGAACACCAGUGGCGAAGGCGACCGCCUGGGCUAAUACUGACACUGAGGUGCGAAAGCGUGGGGAGGCAAACAAGGAUUAGAUACCCUGGUAGUCCACGCCGUAAACGAUGUCGACUAGCCGUUGGGAUCCUUGAGAUCUUAGUGGCGCAGCUAACGCAUUAAGUCGACCGCCUGGGGAGUACGGCCGCAAGGUU
This 550-nucleotide ribosomal RNA is filed under the name uncultured bacterium. RNAcentral describes it as "partial 16S ribosomal RNA". It matches the Rfam family "Bacterial small subunit ribosomal RNA", at positions 355 to 895 of the family's 1533-position model. The record is from RNAcentral.